UAAAGCGUGCGUAGGCGGCCCGUUAAGUCAGAUGUGAAAGCCCCGGGCUCAACCUGGGAACUGCAUUUGAAACUGGCGGGCUAGAGUUAGGUAGAGGGGAGUGGAAUUUCAGGUGUAGCGGUGAAAUGCGUAGAGAUCUGAAGGAACACCAGUGGCGAAGGCGACUCCCUGGACCCAAACUGACGCUGAGGUACGAAAGCGUGGGUAGCAAACAGGAUUAGAUACCCUGGUAGUCCACGCCGUAAACGAUGUCAACUAGCCGUUGGGCCCAAUUAUGGGUUUAGUGGCGCAGCUAACGCAUUAAGUUAACCGCCUGGGGAGUACGGCCGCAAGGUUAAAACUCAAAUGAAUUGACGGGGGCCCGCACACGCGGUGGAGCAUGUGGUUUAAUUCGAUGCUACGCGAAGAACCUUACCUACCCUUGACAUCCAGUGGAUUCGGCAGAGAUGCCUUAGUGCCUUCGGGAACACUGAGACAGGUGCUGCAUGGCUGUCGUCAGCUCGUGUCGUGAGAUGUUGGGUUAAGUCCCGCAACGAGCGCAACCCCCAUCACUAGUUGCCAUCAGGUAACGCUGGGAACUCUAGUGAAACUGCCGUCGUAAGACGUGAGGAAGGAGGGGAUGAUGUCAAGUCAUCAUGGCCUUUAUGCCCAGGGCUACACACGUGCUACAAUGGGGCGUACAAAGGGCUGCAACAUAGUGAUAUGAAGCUAAUCCCAAAAAACGCCUCUCAGUUCAGAUUGAAGUCUGCAACUCGACUUCAUGAAGCUGGAAUCGCUAGUAAUCGUA
RNAcentral lists this ribosomal RNA (787 nucleotides) under uncultured Methylococcales bacterium. Its description in RNAcentral is "bacterial SSU rRNA". It matches the Rfam family "Bacterial small subunit ribosomal RNA", at positions 561 to 1346 of the family's 1533-position model. The record is from RNAcentral. Lineage: Bacteria; Pseudomonadati; Pseudomonadota; Gammaproteobacteria; Methylococcales.